Molecule: RNA transcript, 1778 nt
Organism: Mus pahari (shrew mouse)
Lineage: Eukaryota; Metazoa; Chordata; Mammalia; Rodentia; Muridae
Gene name: sentrin-specific protease 2 pseudogene
Exons: 1
Source: RefSeq, a predicted model, not a curated record
AUGUGGCAACCUAAACAGCCUGGGUUGGAGAUGAAGCCCGAAGCUUCAGGAAAAGGGCGAAAACGGAAAUACCAGGAUGAAAGAGAGAUAGAGACAGAGGCUGAAGCUUUGGGACAAGGUCCAAAAAGGAAAUACCAGGAUGGAACAGGGAUGGUAUUUAAAGAGUCUGGCAAGGCUCAGAAGAAGACCCCUCAGGAGCCUCAAGACCUAGAGCUUCUGAGAGUACAGCCUAGCAAGGGUCGGGCAAGGAAACCCCAGGGAGAGACUCCAAAACAACUAAAACCCGUUGGGUAUACCGAAGGUCCUCCAGAGGAGGCUGUAACUGGGAGGAAGCCUGCUGAUGGUGGCGAGGGUCGCAAGCGACCCUAUUGUGUCAUGGAGGAAAACGAACAAAGCCCCCAAAAGGAAAAGUACAGAAGGUUGCUUCAACAUCCUCAGUGCGACCAAGAUGUGAGGUCAGACCCACUCAGGCCUCACCCAAUCCUUACAAAUACCUGGAAAACCAAAGGGGGCGAGUCAGGAGACAGUCAUGGAUCAAAAAGUACUCAGAGACAUCUAGAACCAUCUACUGUUUUUGCUACAAAAGAAUGUUUUUCAUCAGAGGAGCGAGUGAAGUGUUCUGAGGAGAAAUCUGUUAUAGAGAAGAAAGGCCGUGUAAAGGGUGAAGGAAGAAGGGGGAACCGCUUGGAGCCUGAUUUACGGGGAACACGGGCUCAGAUCAUCCUGGAUAGCGGCAGAAGCAAUAGCUUACUCCCCAACAAGAUGGCAGCACUACCGGCAGAGAAAAAGCCUCUCACAGACCAAGAAAAGGACAGAGAAAUGGAUCAAAUCCUUAUUACAGAGGAUAUGGAGAAGGAAAUUGAGAAUGCAUUGGGUCCAGGAGCCCAAGAGGAAAUCCUGAGUACCAGAUUCAAGUUACAAAUCACCAGAGGAGAUAUCCAGACCCUGCAGAACGGUCAGUGGCUCAAUGAUGAGGUCAUCAACUUCUACAUGAACCUUCUAGUUGAGAGAAAUGCAAACCAAGGCUACCCGGCUCUUCAUGUCUUUAGCACUUUCUUUUACCCCAAGCUAAAGCAUAGCGGAUACAAUUCCGUGAAAAGAUGGACUCGAAGCAUCCAUCUCUUUGAAAAAGAACUCAUCUUGGUGCCUAUUCACCAGCAGCUCCAUUGGAGCCUGGUGGUAAUCGAUUUAAGAAAACGAAGUAUUGUAUACCUCGAUUCCAUGGGACAUACAGGGAAGUCUAUCUGUGAAACCAUCUUCCAAUAUUUACAAAACGAGAGCAAGACACNCAGGAACANUGAGCUGGACCCUUUGGAGUGGAAGCAGUACAGUGCGACAUCACAAGAGAUUCCUCUGCAACUGAAUGGCAGUGACUGUGGAAUGUUUACCUGUAAAUAUGCAGAUUACAUCUCUAGGGACCAGCCUUUGACCUUUUCUCAGCAACACAUGCCCAACUUCAGGAAGAGGAUGGUAUGGGAAAUCCUGCACAGUCACUUACUGUAACAACAUCCACCUGGUUGCUAUGGUCCCCAUCCCUGUUCUUUUCCAUGCUGUUUCUANUAUACCUCAGGGAGGAUGAGUUGAAGAGAUUUAAACCAGGUACUGAGCUGUCUCAUUGGAUGAAGCCCACUGUCUUCAAUAUAGUCCUAACGUGGAUGUGGGACGGAUGCCCUAAUGCCAUCUCUAGGAUGCAUGCAACUAUUGCAAGCUUAGAAACAGCUGCUGCCCAACCCACAGGAGACCACGUGUUCAAAAAAUCCUUUUUUAAUGCUGGAUUU